UGAAUGAACUAGCAUGCGAGUCAUUGUAGCAUACAAGGCAUACGGCUCAGUAACGCGUAGUCAACCUAACCUAUGGACGGGAAUAACCUCGGGAAACUGAGAAUAAUGCCCGAUAGAACACUAUACCUGGAAUGGUUUGUGUUCCAAAUGAUUUAUCGCCAUAGGAUGGGACUGCGGCCUAUCAGUUUGUUGGUGAGGUAAUGGCCCACCAAGACUAUUACAGGUACGGGCUCUGAGAGGAGUAGCCCGGAGAUGGGUACUGAGACACGGACCCAGGCCCUAUGGGGCGCAGCAGGCGAGAAAACUUUGCAAUGUGCGAAAGCACGACAAGGUUAAUCCGAGUGAUUUGUGCUAAACGAAUCUUUUGUUAGUCCUAGAAACACUAACGAAUAAGGGGUGGGCAAGUUCUGGUGUCAGCCGCCGCGGUAAAACCAGCACCUCAAGUGGUCAGGAUGAUUAUUGGGCCUAAAGCAUCCGUAGCCGGCUCUGUAAGUUUUCGGUUAAAUCUGUACGCUUAACGUACAGGCUGCCGGGAAUACUGCAGAGCUAGGGAGUGGGAGAGGUAGACGGUACUCGGUAGGAAGUGGUAAAAUGCUUUGAUCUAUCGAUGACCACCUGUGGCGAAAGGCGGUCUACCAGAACACGUCCGACGGUGAGGGAUGAAAGCUGGGGGAGCAACCGGAUUAGAUACCCGGGUUAGUCCAGCUGUAACUAUGCAACUCAUGAUGCAUGGUCUUGUGUAAUGCCAUUGCCUGCCAAGGAAAGGACCGGAUUAAGCCUUG
Molecule: ribosomal RNA, 782 nt
Filed under: uncultured archaeon
Lineage: Archaea
Description: bacterial SSU rRNA
Rfam family: Archaeal small subunit ribosomal RNA
Source: RNAcentral